This 1021-nucleotide ribosomal RNA is filed under the name Graphiola cylindrica. RNAcentral describes it as "SSU rRNA". It matches the Rfam family "Eukaryotic small subunit ribosomal RNA", at positions 87 to 1110 of the family's 1831-position model. Lineage: Eukaryota; Fungi; Basidiomycota; Exobasidiomycetes; Exobasidiales; Graphiolaceae. The record is from RNAcentral.
CUGCGAAUGGCUCAUUAAAUCAGUUAUAGUUUAUUUGAUGGUACUUUACUACAUGGAUAACUGUGGUAAUUCUAGAGCUAAUACAUGCGUACAAGCCCCGACUUUUUGGAAGGGGUGUAUUUAUUAGAUAAAAACCAACCGCUUCGGCGAUCUUUGGUGAAUCAUAAUAACUUUUCUAAUCGCAUGGCCUUGUGCCGGCGAUGCUUCAUUCAAAUAUCUGCCCUAUCAACUUUGAUGGUAGGAUAGAGGCCUACCAUGGUUGCAACGGGUAACGGGGAAUAAGGGUUCGAUUCCGGAGAGGGAGCCUGAGAAACGGCUACCACAUCCAAGGAAGGCAGCAGGCGCGCAAAUUACCCAAUCCCAAUACGGGGAGGUAGUGACAAUAAAUAACAAUAUAGGGCCUUUCAGGUGUUAUAAUUGGAAUGAGUACAAUUUAAAUCCCUUAACGAGGAACAAUCGGAGGGCAAGUUUGGGGCCAGCAGCCGCGGUAAAUCCAGCUCCAAUAGAGUAUAUUAAAGUUGUAGCAGUUAAAAAGCUGGUAGUUGAAUUUCAGGUCUUGGCCGGCCGGUCCACCUCAAGGCGUGCACUGGUGGGCGAGACCUUCCUUUCUUGGUGAGCUCUGUUUGCCGUUUACUCGGUGAGCAGAUGUCUGGCCAGGACUUUUACUUUGAAAAAAUUAGAGUGUUCAAAGCAGGCCUAUGCCCGAAUAUAUUAGCAUGGAAUAAUAGAAUAGGACGUCGCGGUCCUAUUUUGUUGGUUUCUAGGAUCGCCGUAAUGAUUAAUAGGGAUAGUCGGGGGCAUUUGUAUUCACAUGCUAGAGGUGAAAUUCUUGGAUUUUGUGAAGACAAACUACUGCGAAAGCAUUUGUCAAGGAUGUUUUCAUUAAUCAAGAACGAAGGUUAGGGGAUCGAAAACGAUUAGAUACCGUUGUAGUCUUAACAGUAAACUAUGCCGACUAGGGAUCGGGCGAUGUUAUUUUUCUUGACUCGCUCGGCACCUUACGAGAAAUCAAAGUUUUUGG